GGGAAUGUAGCUCAGAUGGUAGAGCGCUCGCUUAGCAUGCGAGAAGUACGGGGAUCGAUACCCUGCAUCUCCA
Molecule: non-coding RNA, 73 nt
Organism: Daphnia pulex (common water flea)
Lineage: Eukaryota; Metazoa; Arthropoda; Branchiopoda; Diplostraca; Daphniidae
Source: Rfam